RNAcentral lists this transfer RNA (93 nucleotides) under Wenjunlia tyrosinilytica. RNAcentral's name for it is "tRNA-Thr". The record is from RNAcentral. Lineage: Bacteria; Bacillati; Actinomycetota; Actinomycetes; Kitasatosporales; Streptomycetaceae.
CGGGCGGCGGCGAGCAGGGCCCGAGCGGCCCUUGUGUGGCCGUCGGCCCCGUCUGCCUUGUCGACCCCGUCGGUCCCGCCCGUCCCGCCUGCC